Molecule: non-coding RNA, 25 nt
Filed under: Mus musculus (house mouse)
Lineage: Eukaryota; Metazoa; Chordata; Mammalia; Rodentia; Muridae
Source: RNAcentral
UGUGUACAUUGUAGGAACGUCAGAG